Molecule: unclassified non-coding RNA, 220 nt
Filed under: Hevea brasiliensis (rubber tree)
Lineage: Eukaryota; Viridiplantae; Streptophyta; Magnoliopsida; Malpighiales; Euphorbiaceae
Source: RNAcentral
GGGCUUUGGAGUUGGAAUUUGAGGCAUUACUGAGGAGUGGCUUUGGCUUUCACAGAUGAAAACCAAAAUGAAUGAGAUUUUAGAUCUGAUUUGAAAGAGAAACUUUUUUUUGCUAGAAGAAGGCCGGAAUUAGGUGAGGUGAGCACAGAGUGUAUGAUAAGAGGCAACUUGGUGUCGGAGGAGAGGCUCCAAUCAAUUUCAGUUUUCACGUUCACGUUAG